UACGUAGGUCCCGAGCGUUGUCCGGAUUUAUUGGGCGUAAAGCGAGCGCAGGUGGUUUAUUAAGUCUGGUGUAAAAGGCAGUGGCUCAACCAUUGUAUGCAUUGGAAACUGGUAGACUUGAGUGCAGGAGAGGAGAGUGGAAUUCCAUGUGUAGCGGUGAAAUGCGUAGACAUAUGGAGGAACACCGGUGGCGAAAGCGGCUCUCUGGCCUGUAGCUGACACUGAGGCUCGAAAGCGUGGGGAGCAAACAGG
This 252-nucleotide ribosomal RNA is filed under the name uncultured bacterium. RNAcentral's name for it is "partial 16S ribosomal RNA". It matches the Rfam family "Bacterial small subunit ribosomal RNA", at positions 524 to 776 of the family's 1533-position model. The record is from RNAcentral.